GAUGAACGCUAGCGGCAGGCCUAAUACAUGCAAGUCGAGGGGUAGAAGAGGCUUGCUUCUUUGAGACCGGCGCACGGGUGCGUAACGCGUAUGCAACCUACCUUCAUCUGGGGGAUAGCCCGGAGAAAUCCGGAUUAAUACCGCAUAAAAUCACAGGAUGGCAUUAUCCAAUGAUCAAACAUUUAUGGGAUGGAGAUGGGCAUGCGUGUCAUUAGCUAGUUGGCGGGGUAACGGCCCACCAAGGCGACGAUGACUACGGGAUCUGAGAGGAUGGCCCCCCACACUGGAACUGAGACACGGACCAGACUCCUACGGGAGGCAGCAGUAAGGAAUAUUGGUCAAUGGAGGCAACUCUGAACCAGCCAUGCCGCGUGCAGGAAGACUGCCCUAUGGGUUGUAAACUGCUUUUAUUCGGGAAUAAACCUUAUUACGUGUAAUAAGCUGAAUGUACCGAAGGAAUAAGGAUCGGCUAACUCCGUGCCAGCAGCCGCAGUAA
This 496-nucleotide ribosomal RNA is filed under the name uncultured bacterium. RNAcentral's name for it is "partial 16S ribosomal RNA". It matches the Rfam family "Bacterial small subunit ribosomal RNA", at positions 28 to 523 of the family's 1533-position model. The record is from RNAcentral.